CGGGGCGUAGCGCAGCCUGGUAGCGCGCCUGCUUUGGGAGCAGGAUGUCGGAGGUUCGAAUCCUCUCGCCCCGACCA
Molecule: transfer RNA, 77 nt
Filed under: Desulfobacter hydrogenophilus
Lineage: Bacteria; Pseudomonadati; Thermodesulfobacteriota; Desulfobacteria; Desulfobacterales; Desulfobacteraceae
Also listed under: 23 other names
Description: tRNA-Pro
Rfam family: tRNA
About the family: Transfer RNA (tRNA) molecules are approximately 80 nucleotides in length.
Source: RNAcentral